AUUGAUAUUAUUUGUUUACAGGUCGAGUGAGUUUAUGCUCCCCGUUAGAUAGUCAAAUUUAUGAUCGAACUCUGUUCGUUUAUUUUUUUAAAAUCAGGCUACCUUAAUGGGUUUAUGAAUGGAUAGGAAAUAGUUAAGCUUAUUAUGAAUUUCGGAGGCCUUAUGCUGACCCAAGUCUUAGUGUUGGUCUGGCCCAGAAAUCGGGUAGUGACAAGCUGAUCUUUCGAAAUAUCACUUCACUUGCGGAGAACGUAUAUAGGAUAUAUAUCUUACAUGCCUUGACAAAAUUAACAUAAUUUUAUAAAAGGGUAUGUGUUGUCUUUUUCUCUAUAUGCACUUU
Molecule: unclassified non-coding RNA, 340 nt
Filed under: Hevea brasiliensis (rubber tree)
Lineage: Eukaryota; Viridiplantae; Streptophyta; Magnoliopsida; Malpighiales; Euphorbiaceae
Source: RNAcentral